ACGUAGGUACCGAGCGUUAUCCGGAUUUACUGGGCGUAAAGCGUGUUCAGGCGGUCUAGCAAGUCGGGCAUGAAAUCUCUGGGCUCAACCCGGAGGGGUUGUCCGAAACUGCUGGGCUUGAGGGCAGCAGAGGGUGGUGGAAUUCCGGGUGUAGUGGUGAAAUGCGUAGAUAUCCGGAGGAACACCAGUGGCGAAGGCGGCCACCUGGGCUGUACCUGACGCUCAAACACGAAAGCUAGGGGAGCGAACGGGAUUAGAAACCCCGGUAGUCCUAGCCGUAAACGAUGUUGACUAGGUGUCGACGGUCUAAACCCCGCCGGUGCCGGAGCUAACGCACGAAGUCAACCGCCUGGGGACUACGGCCGCAAGGUUA
This 373-nucleotide ribosomal RNA is filed under the name uncultured bacterium. Its description in RNAcentral is "bacterial SSU rRNA". It matches the Rfam family "Bacterial small subunit ribosomal RNA", at positions 525 to 896 of the family's 1533-position model. The record is from RNAcentral.